Molecule: long non-coding RNA, 208 nt
Filed under: Erythranthe guttata (spotted monkey flower)
Lineage: Eukaryota; Viridiplantae; Streptophyta; Magnoliopsida; Lamiales; Phrymaceae
Description: long non-coding RNA (EGUT_LNC001744)
Source: RNAcentral
UUCUAAGGUGGUGUUUGCAAAUGAUUAUUUAAAAGCAGAAGUUAGUGAUUGUGAUUUAAGUUAGUUUUAAGUGCUUAUUUCUAAAAGUUGAGGGUGUUUGCAAAUAUUUCGGAAAAUGAACUAAAAUUGAAAAAGCAGGGUUAGGGGUGCUUUUAAAAAAAUAGCUUAAAACAGAUUAUUUUAAGAGAAGCAAAAGCAAAAGUUGAUU